Manis pentadactyla (Chinese pangolin) is the source of this 1066-nucleotide long non-coding RNA. RefSeq lists it as uncharacterized. NCBI's taxonomy places the organism in Eukaryota, Metazoa, Chordata, Mammalia, Pholidota, Manidae. The transcript has 3 exons. The record is from RefSeq and is a predicted model, not a curated record.
AGGACCAAGGCUAUGAUGUGCCAGAUGACGCCCCUCCUUUUGAAGCUGCAUAGGAUUCAGACCUAUGCAUAUCGGCUCACAAUAAAGUGAGUGUGAUAUGGGCACCAAUGUGGGUGCGAAGCUAAGCAUCGCAAGGGAAUGUUCAUGAACCGCCUCUGAAUUCUCUGAAAAACCUGGCUUGCAUGGAGGUUGGUAUCUAAAAUAAAGACGCCCUUCCUCCCCUCCACAAAAGAUACCAAGGGCCAACGUUGACCCCCAUGAAUGGGGAGUCUCGGAGGAGCCAGGUCACUACUCCCCCAAUUGGUUAAUGCCCAACGCUAAAUAGCGGGCCUCCCCCUCUUUGGUAUAAAAGAAGGGAGGAGAUGUCGGGAGCCGUAGGCCAUAGAAACACUGGUCUCGCCCUUUUCACCUAGGCCUCUGGUUUCUCAAGCCUGCCCUGUUUAGGAAAGAUCAAUUGACCCAGCUUGUGAUUAGACCGCUGGGAUACAGAUAAAGCAGCUGCCGUGAUAACAUCUCCUCCUUAGUUAAACCUUCUGUCUUUUCUCAGUAAUCCAACACCCAUGAUCUUUUAAAGAGAACAUUCUUUAGUUAGGUAUCCUAGCAACCUAGAUAAUCCUUGCCACUUCAGCUGGGGCUGUUUCCACCUCCUAGCUCCUAUGUAAGAAUAAACUUUGAGACCUUGAUCAGACUUUCGACUUGGUCUCCUUCUUUGUGUCUGGUUUGUCUCUCAUCCAGGUUAACUUCCCCUCGAGCCCUUGUUGAACUCCCCACUGGCCGGGGCAUAUGGCGCCCAAUGUGGGGCUCGAGGUAAGAAGCCUUAUCUGGACGUUGCUCAUUUGGACGGCCGUCCUUCUUUCUUUGGAUCGCCACCCCACCGGUGAGUGAAGAUCCACAUGAAGAUCACCACAGGAGUACCCGCUUAUGACACAGAUCGAUAAAGAGGAUGUCUGCCAUGGUUCCCCAGGAAGGAACUAUAGAUGAAAAACAGUUUCGCCGAGUUGGCAACUGCCUGAAUGAUUAUUAUCAUUCCUUUGGCCCUGUGAAGACCGUCCGAGGGAGAACCGAC